Molecule: ribosomal RNA, 404 nt
Filed under: uncultured bacterium
Lineage: Bacteria
Description: partial 16S ribosomal RNA
Rfam family: Bacterial small subunit ribosomal RNA
Source: RNAcentral
GACGAACGCUGGCGGCGUGCCUAAUACAUGCAAGUCGAACAGUGGCGAACGGGUGAGUAACACGUGAGUAACCUGCCCUCCACUUUGGGCUAACUCCGAGAAAUCGGGGCUAAUACUGGAUAGUGGGGGAUGGGUGCGCGGCCUAUCGGUUUCUUGGUGAGGUAGUGGUCACCAAGGCGUGACGGGUAGCCGGCCUGGGAGGGGGACCGGCCACACGGUGACUGAGGCACGGCCCAGUCUCCUACGGUAGGCAGCGGUGGGGAAUAUUGCGCAAUGGGCGAAAGCCUGAUGCAGCGACGCCGCGUGGGGGAAGACGGCUUUCGGGUUGUAAACCUCUUUCAGCAAGGAAGCGGUACUUGCAGAAGAAGCGCCGGCUAACUACGUGCCAGCAGCCGCGGUAAUUC